RNAcentral lists this ribosomal RNA (694 nucleotides) under uncultured bacterium. RNAcentral describes it as "bacterial SSU rRNA". It matches the Rfam family "Bacterial small subunit ribosomal RNA", at positions 111 to 823 of the family's 1533-position model. The record is from RNAcentral.
UAACGCGUGGGUAACCUGCCUCGUACAGGGGGAUAACAGUUAGAAAUGACUGCUAAUACCGCAUAAGACCACAGCACCGCAUGGUGCAGGGGUAAAAACUCCGGUGGUAUGAGAUGGACCCGCGUCUGAUUAGCUAGUUGGUAAGGUAACGGCUUACCAAGGCGACGAUCAGUAGCCGACCUGAGAGGGUGACCGGCCACAUUGGGACUGAGACACGGCCCAAACUCCUACGGGAGGCAGCAGUGGGGAAUAUUGCACAAUGGGGGAAACCCUGAUGCAGCGACGCCGCGUGAGCGAAGAAGUAUUUCGGUAUGUAAAGCUCUAUCAGCAGGGAAGAAAAUGACGGUACCUGACUAAGAAGCACCGGCUAAAUACGUGCCAGCAGCCGCGGUAAUACGUAUGGUGCAAGCGUUAUCCGGAUUUACUGGGUGUAAAGGGAGUGUAGACGGAUGGGCAAGUCUGAUGUGAAAACCCGGGGCUCAACCCCGGGACUGCAUUGGAAACUGUUCAUCUAGAGUGCUGGAGAGGUAAGUGGAAUUCCUAGUGUAGCGGUGAAAUGCGUAGAUAUUAGGAGGAACACCAGUGGCGAAGGCGGCUUACUGGACAGUAACUGACGUUGAGGCUCGAAAGCGUGGGGAGCAAACAGGAUUAGAUACCCUGGUAGUCCACGCCGUAAACGAUGACUACUAGGUGU